UAUUCUGCCCUACGGGGAAGGAUGAGAAGCUUCGACUAAGGUUCGACUCGAGCGYCAGCGAGAGAACGUUGCCGCAGGCAACGGCCCGAAGGGCGAGGCGCUUUAGCGCCGAGUAAUCCUUCCCCCACCACCA
This 133-nucleotide small RNA is filed under the name Klebsiella aerogenes. Its description in RNAcentral is "RtT sRNA". It matches the Rfam family "RtT RNA". From Rfam's summary of the family: This family represents a bacterial cis-regulatory element known as RtT RNA. The exact function of RtT is unknown although it is thought that it may be involved in changing the cellular response in relation to amino acid starvation. Lineage: Bacteria; Pseudomonadati; Pseudomonadota; Gammaproteobacteria; Enterobacterales; Enterobacteriaceae. The record is from RNAcentral.